This 78-nucleotide microRNA precursor is filed under the name Schistosoma margrebowiei. Its description in RNAcentral is "mir-3492 microRNA precursor family". It matches the Rfam family "mir-3492 microRNA precursor family". Lineage: Eukaryota; Metazoa; Platyhelminthes; Trematoda; Strigeidida; Schistosomatidae. The record is from Rfam by way of RNAcentral.
AGCUUUUCGAAUCCGUGCAGAGAUUUCGUCAGACACCGACCCAUCAGGGCUGAUCAGACUUUUAAGAUAAGUGAAGUC